Molecule: long non-coding RNA, 266 nt
Filed under: Gossypium raimondii (Peruvian cotton)
Lineage: Eukaryota; Viridiplantae; Streptophyta; Magnoliopsida; Malvales; Malvaceae
Description: long non-coding RNA (GRAI_LNC001348)
Source: RNAcentral
CAGACACAUGAAGAGUUCAAAAAUUGUAUCACCAUGAUUUUGGAAGAACAAUUUUGACAAAACAUGGAAAAAGAAAAGAAAUUUUGAUGGGAAAAAUGCAAAGAGAAAAAGAACAUCAGAAACUGGAAAAAUGAGAAAUUUUGGGAAAAUAGAAUAAAAUGAAAUAAAAUAAAAAGAUUAAGCCAAAUCCCACUACGUCCACAUCCAUUAACCACCGAACUAACUCAGAAUCCCACUACCACUGAACCACUAUACCACUAUCAACC